GCCGGAUUAGCACAGUGGUAGUGCAGUCGAUUUGUAAUCGAAAGGUCGCGAGUUCGAAUCUUGCAUCCGGCACCA
RNAcentral lists this transfer RNA (75 nucleotides) under Alphaproteobacteria bacterium. RNAcentral describes it as "tRNA-Thr". It matches the Rfam family "tRNA". From Rfam's summary of the family: Transfer RNA (tRNA) molecules are approximately 80 nucleotides in length. Their secondary structure includes four short double-helical elements and three loops (D, anti-codon, and T loops). The record is from RNAcentral. Lineage: Bacteria; Pseudomonadati; Pseudomonadota; Alphaproteobacteria. RNAcentral also lists the same sequence under 1 other name.